UACGGAGGAUGCAAGCGUUUAUCCGGAAUGAUUGGGCGUAAAGCGUCCGCAGGUGGCAAUGUAAGUCUGCUGUCAAAGCGUCUGGCUCAACCAGAUAAAGGCAGUGGAAACUACAUAGCUAGAGUAAGGUAGGGGUAGAGGGAAUUCCUGGUGUAGCGGUGAAAUGCGUAGAGAUCAGGAAGAAUACCGGUGGCGAAAGCGUUCUGCUAGACCUGUACUGACACUGAGGGACGAAAGCUAGGGGAGCGAAUGGG
RNAcentral lists this ribosomal RNA (254 nucleotides) under uncultured bacterium. RNAcentral's name for it is "partial 16S ribosomal RNA". It matches the Rfam family "Bacterial small subunit ribosomal RNA", at positions 524 to 776 of the family's 1533-position model. The record is from RNAcentral.